RNAcentral lists this non-coding RNA (876 nucleotides) under Pan troglodytes (chimpanzee). Lineage: Eukaryota; Metazoa; Chordata; Mammalia; Primates; Hominidae. The record is from RNAcentral.
UGGGCAGGCGCAGUGGUGCUGGGCACACGUGGAGCUGCGCGUGGAGGAGUCCAGGCUGCAGCCGAGGGAGCUGAGUAGGGCAAAGUUAGGAGUCGCUGUUUGGAUGGCAAGUUCAGAAGUUGGAACUUGUCUCAGUUUCCCCGCUCCAGAAAUGGGGUUGUGAUCUAAAGACAGGGACAUGAGUGAAGAAAACACAGAGCCACCCUGGAAAGCAAAGAAGGAGUGGGGAGAUCUGAGAAUCGAUACUGAACAGCUUCAGUACUACGAUGCCAUAAUGGGGCUGUGAGCUCAGCCGAAAGCCCCCCGCCCAGUUUUUUUUGGAAGUGGUCAUAGAAUCUCUCUGGAGAAACAACAUGGAAAUGGAGACCAAAAGAGGGAAGGAGGGAUGCCACCAGAUGACACUGGGAUCCCGGAAGACGGAACACUGUGUGCAACGGGCAAAGAACUUUUCAAAAGGGAUUUCAACCUCUGACCACCUGGAGACAGGCGACUGGCGCUCAUUGUAAAUGCACCGACAUGACAGGGAACAGCUGCUGGGGAGGUGGAGACGGGUGCGGGGAGAGACAGGAAACCCCAGAGGCUUGGAAAUCCAGGAGCCACAGGAAGCAGUGAGCUUUCUGCGGAGCCGGAUCCGGUGGAGCCAAUUCACCAGCAGGUCCCGGCAGCGACUCUUCUACAACAGAUUCCUGCCCGUCCCUGUGCCCCAUCGCCCCCCUGCCGUCAAUCUCCACCUCAAGGGAGCCAGACCAAGCCUUUCUGUGUGUAGCGCACAUCUCUCCUGCGUAGAGCUCACCUAGUGGCUUCCAUAGCUUUUUUUUUUUUUUUUUUUUUUUUGAGACAGGGUCUUGCCCUGUCACCCAGGCUGGGGUACGGUGG